Molecule: long non-coding RNA, 268 nt
Filed under: Homo sapiens (human)
Lineage: Eukaryota; Metazoa; Chordata; Mammalia; Primates; Hominidae
Description: HSALNT0129301
Source: RNAcentral
UAAUAAAUGGCCAGCUGACAAACUCCAGGAAAAGGAGAAAGCAGAUGGAGACACCAAAGAAGAAAUAAAUUAAAUGGCAUCUCCAAAUCAAUGGUAAACCAGGGAAAUGAACUGAAUCAGUUCCGUCUGUCUCCUCAUGUUUAAGGAAUGAAUAAUUUGUACUCUGGGAGAUAUAUAAAGCAUGAGAUGGUAUCCACUUCAAUGGACUGUUUCCAGAACUCCGUGUUCAGAAUCUGACUCAGGAGAAAUGAAUAAUUUCUCUUCAGGU